CUACGGGAGGCAGCAGUGGGGAAUAUUGGACAAUGGGGGCAACCCUGAUCCAGCCAUGCCGCGUGUGUGAAGAAGGCCUUUUGGUUGUAAAGCACUUUAAGCAGGGAGGAGAGGCUAAUGGUUAAUACCCAUUAGAUUAGACGUUACCUGCAGAAUAAGCACCGGCUAACUCUGUGCCAGCAGCCGCGGUAAUACAGAGGGUGCGAGCGUUAAUCGGAAUUACUGGGCGUAAAGCGAGUGUAGGUGGCUCAUUAAGUCACAUGUGAAAUCCCCGGGCUUAACCUGGGAACUGCAUGUGAUACUGGUGGUGCUAGAAUAUGUGAGAGGGAAGUAGAAUUCCAGGUGUAGCGGUGAAAUGCGUAGAGAUCUGGAGGAAUACCGAUGGCGAAGGCAGCUUCCUGGCAUAAUAUUGACACUGAGAUUCGAAAGCGUGGGUAGCAAACAGGAUUAGAUACCCGGGUAGUC
This 465-nucleotide ribosomal RNA is filed under the name uncultured bacterium. Its description in RNAcentral is "partial 16S ribosomal RNA". It matches the Rfam family "Bacterial small subunit ribosomal RNA", at positions 339 to 795 of the family's 1533-position model. The record is from RNAcentral.